RNAcentral lists this transfer RNA (108 nucleotides) under Candidatus Woesearchaeota archaeon. RNAcentral describes it as "tRNA-Arg". It matches the Rfam family "tRNA". From Rfam's summary of the family: Transfer RNA (tRNA) molecules are approximately 80 nucleotides in length. Their secondary structure includes four short double-helical elements and three loops (D, anti-codon, and T loops). Lineage: Archaea; Nanobdellati; Candidatus Woesearchaeota. The record is from RNAcentral.
GAGCCUGUAGCGCAGUCUGGCAGAUCUUUGCUUUGGUGCUUGGAUUUGGAUAAAUAGCGCGAUUGCCUCCUAAGCAAUAGGUCGUGAGUUCAAAUCUCACCAGGCUCG